RNAcentral lists this transfer RNA (62 nucleotides) under Camelus bactrianus (Bactrian camel). It matches the Rfam family "tRNA", at positions 5 to 66 of the family's 71-position model. From Rfam's summary of the family: Transfer RNA (tRNA) molecules are approximately 80 nucleotides in length. Their secondary structure includes four short double-helical elements and three loops (D, anti-codon, and T loops). RNAcentral also lists the same sequence under 2 other names. Lineage: Eukaryota; Metazoa; Chordata; Mammalia; Artiodactyla; Camelidae. The record is from Rfam by way of RNAcentral.
GUAUAGCUCAGUGGUAGAGUGCGUGUCAGCGUGCAUGAGGUCCUGGGUUCAAUCCCCAGUAC